Molecule: long non-coding RNA, 1028 nt
Organism: Rosa rugosa (rugosa rose)
Lineage: Eukaryota; Viridiplantae; Streptophyta; Magnoliopsida; Rosales; Rosaceae
Exons: 3
Source: RefSeq, a predicted model, not a curated record
GCGAGAUUAGCCUCAGUAUUAUCUUUGCAGGACAGUCAUGAACCUGUCAAUCUUGGAAAUCUUCGUACUCAAAGCCUUGAAUUGAUUGCUAAUCAUUCCUACCUGGUUCCGAGAAUGAAUACUUGUGAUGUUGAGAGAGUGAAGCGUGGUGGCCCGUGGAGCUUCAAUAGGGCGUUGAUUGUUCUCAGUGAUUAUGAUGGUCUUCCCUUAAUUUUAGAGGUCUCAUUGAAUCAUUUUUGUGUGUCGGUUCGAAUCCCUGGCCUUCCCCCUACUUUUGCUACUAUUUCAACUAUUUCUCUGAUUGGGGAGACUUUGGAAAAUGUUUUGGCUAUUGAUCUGCGUGGAUUGAGAGAAGGAAGAGGUCGGCUUCUUAUUGAAUUAUGUCUGUAGGAUUCGCUACAUACAUCUAGGACAUUCAAGGUUUCUCCUUCUAAAACACCCCUAACAUUUUGAAAGGUUAGUAGGGUGGUGUAAGGAAUGUCUGUCGCUUAAGCAUGUAGGAGCGAUCUGGCCGUGGGUGCAGGACGCUGAGGCAACAUCGGGAAAAGAGGUUCCAGCAAUGGGCGUGGCGGCGUAAGGUCAGUGGCGUCCAUCGAGUCUCUCCCCUCUGACUUUUUUUAGGAAUGUCAGUACGUAGUCCUUUCCUGAUUCAAUGUUGUAGCAGAAGGCAUUGUUACGUGCUUGGGGGCCAAAGAGGACAAUGGUCCUAAAACAGUUAGAGGACCGGUCACGGGCAGCCGUGUGUGAUAGAGUAGAAAGGAGGUUGUGGAAGAGAUGCCAAAACCAAGCUGCUUUAGUUUGAAUUAGUUCCUGCUUCAUUGUAGGCCGAACAAUUGGGAUUGACUUUGCAGGAUAGUGGCUUAGUAGAGGUGCAGAUGAUCCUGGCUGCAGGCAAGAAAAAGGGCCAAGGAAGGCCACGUGGGAGCAGGAACAAGGUGAAGGCAAUGGAGAUUGAGAGUGAACCUUUGUUACACCCUGUACCUAGAUUUACUGGUUUGCUUAUCAUUUAGACAGUAAACGACAAUUAU